GGUUUGGAUUUCUGAGAUGGCUCUACUCAGUUACUGACUGCUCAUGGAUUAGGAACUGCUUGCCUAGGGAAGAAAGAAGCAUGGUGGUGGUGGAACAAACCAGGAGGCGAUGUCUCAGUGGUAUGGAAGGUAGAUGGCGUGAGGCUGCCUGUGUGGUUUCCCAGACCUCCCAUAAUGCGUUCUGCUCAUCCUCUGAACUAGUUUCUUCAGUUAUAUCGCUUAAGGAAAAACAAUGGUUUAGCUGAUGCCUCAAUCACUGCUGAAGCCAGGCAUCCAAGAGCCCAGAGCCCACUUUGCCUCUCAACUGGAGAACCAAAGAACUAUAAAUGGACGUAUGCAAAUAGAAAAAGAUGAGUUUCCUUUUAUGCUGUACACCUACACCAGUUGUAAU
Long non-coding RNA from Mustela erminea (ermine), 391 nucleotides. RefSeq lists it as uncharacterized. The transcript has 3 exons. NCBI's taxonomy places the organism in Eukaryota, Metazoa, Chordata, Mammalia, Carnivora, Mustelidae. The record is from RefSeq and is a predicted model, not a curated record.